This is a non-coding RNA of Myodes glareolus (Bank vole), 1958 nucleotides long. Lineage: Eukaryota; Metazoa; Chordata; Mammalia; Rodentia; Cricetidae. The record is from RefSeq and is a predicted model, not a curated record.
CUGACAGCUGACAGAUGUGCAUGGUGUGGCGUGUGUCUCUGUGUGUGUGUGUGUUGUGUGUGUGUGUAUGUCUGCAUACAUCUCAUUUCUUUUUGAAUUUUGCUCAUUUAUUUUUUUUUGAUGCGGGAGACAGACAUCCACCCUGAUAAUCUUCCCCGAUAACCUGUCCCUGGAUAUUGACUUGUUCCCCAUGAUAAACUGAGGAGGAGGCUGAGUCAGAUCGAGAAGAAACGAAAUAGAGUCCGUCGAGAAGAAAAUGAGCCAGGAGUCAAGAGGUGAUGACUAAUACAAAUGACAAAAACAGCUCCCUUGGUCAGAUUUGCCAUAGGGAAGUCACCAUCGGAAGAAUGAAAGAGGAUGAGGUUACAACUACUACUGCUCCGCCUCCUCUCCUUUUGGAGUUUGCCAUUUGCAGCUGUUCUUGCUUUUUGGUAGAAAUGGAGACACUCCCACCCACACUUCCCACAGGAAAUUAUUCCCUGCAGAGGCUGCAUUUGAGAUGAAGAGAAGAUGCAAAACUCCUCAGUUAAAGUUCAUGCAACUUCUUCGAGCAAGAUAAUGACUCCAACUGGAUUCAUGUCCGUCAGCAGGAUUUUCUCAAAACUCCAAGGAACCUCAUUUGCUCGACUUACCCUACCGAUGCUUGCCUGACUACUGGAGACACUGUGGGAGGAAGGAAUGCGUUUCUGGGAGUAGAGCAGUAUGACAUCAGCUACGAUGGAGAGAUGCCAGAUGCUGAGAUUUUACCUAUCAGACUAGCCAAGAGCACUUAUUUUGGUUCAGUAUCUGAUAUUACCCAGGAAGACAGGCUCCCUUUAUCUUUUCUCAAAAUCACUUUUUCCAUAGUCUCCACGUGAAAACUGGGAUGACGGUCUUCCCUGUGCACAGGACAUGGUAAUGAGAAGGCGUCUUCAUAAACCGUCUCCUGUAUUUCAGAGAUCUGGCUGCCAUCCAUGCGUUUGUCUACAUAACACCAAGCACUUGGAUACUUGGCAACAUCCACAUAUCCGACUAUUUUUCAGUUUGUCAUUUAGAUGGUAUAGACCUUGCCUAUGUCUCUGUAUGGUUUGAAUUGGGUGGCAGUGGAGUGUACAAAGGGCGAAAAGAAUUUCAACAACACCUUCUCUUAUUGAUUCGUGAGUUUUGUUUCUUCCAAGAGACUUCUCAAUCAUGGACGAUGGGUUGUAUUUUUAAUAUUGCCCAAAGAUGUAAAAUGCUUACAGUGAAGCAAGUCUAAGUAUAAUGCUAGCAAUUUGAUGAUAGGGAAUGAUGUAGAGACUGAUCUGAACGUUUCUGCUGGUGACCUGAGUUGGCACUAUUUAGAAUGCUGUGAUUUCAAUAUGGAAUAGACACACCUUGGUGCUCAGCUAUAAGUUUUAGGAGGCGUGGUCUAUCUGGAGAAGGAGAUCACUGUGGGCUCAUCUUGGGAAAGGGGUCAUCUCUUUUCCUGUCCCCACUUCGGCUUCCUAGAUGCCAUGAGGAGAAAAAUCCGAGAAUGAAGAAAAGAAGUGGUUGAUAAGGCCAUGUAAGGAAAGUUUGUAUACCUGUGACUCAGGAGCACCAAGAGUUACAUCUCUUAUCAACUCUCUACCAUGUUGGAGCUAAAUUUCUUCUCUUUAUGUUCUGCGUCAGAAUGGAAUCAUUAAUUCGUAGCAACACACACCAUUUCAAGUAUAUUUCUGUUUCUUUCAUUAGAAUGGUUAUAAAUUAAAUAUUUGUUGAGAAUACAUCUAAGGGGGCUAGAGAGAUGGUUCAUUGAUUAAGAUUACUUACUGCUUUCAUAGAUGCCUAGAGAUCAGUUUCUAGCACCCACACCAGACAGUUGACAACAUCUUGUAACUCAAGCUCAGGGAGAUCUGACCUCUUUGGGUUCCUUGGGUUCCGGUACUCAUGUGCACAUACUAAGCACACACAUCCACCACAUAUAAUUCAAAUGCUGAAUCUUCAAAGAUAACACA